UCCCUGGUGGUCCAGUGGUUAAGACUCUGUGCUUCCAAUGUCGGGGGCAUGGGUUCAAUCCCUGUUUGGGGAA
This 73-nucleotide transfer RNA is filed under the name Capra hircus (goat). It matches the Rfam family "tRNA". Rfam says of the family: Transfer RNA (tRNA) molecules are approximately 80 nucleotides in length. Their secondary structure includes four short double-helical elements and three loops (D, anti-codon, and T loops). Lineage: Eukaryota; Metazoa; Chordata; Mammalia; Artiodactyla; Bovidae. The record is from Rfam by way of RNAcentral. RNAcentral also lists the same sequence under 1 other name.